Molecule: long non-coding RNA, 1003 nt
Filed under: Citrus x clementina
Lineage: Eukaryota; Viridiplantae; Streptophyta; Magnoliopsida; Sapindales; Rutaceae
Description: Citrus clementina (C. clementina) long non-coding RNA (CCLE_LNC006369)
Source: RNAcentral
GGGUGGGCUAUAGCCUUGGUGGGGGGCGUGGGCGAAGUUCGUCCGCCGGACUCGGAAUGGCCCCAGACUUUGCGGGCGGCCUCCGUGUGCCAAAAAUAGGCCACGGGCACAGCCGCGCCCAAAAAUCAGCCCCCGAAUGUCGGGGCGCCAAGACCCCCCAGCGGAAAAAUGGCCAAAAAACGGGUGGGCUAUAGCCUUGGUGGGGGGCGUGGGCGAAGUUCGUCCGCCGGACUAGGAAUGGCCCCAGACUUUGCGGGCGGCCUCCGUGUGCCAAAAAUAGGCCACGGCCACAGCCGCGCCCAAAAAUUAGCCCCCGAAGGUCGGGAGGCCAAGACCCCCCAGCUGAAAAAUGGCCAAAAAACGGGUGGGCUAUAGCCUUGGUGGGGGGCGUGGGCGAACUUCGUCCGCCGGACUCGGUAUGGCCCCAGACUUUGCGGGCGGCCUCCGUGUGCCAAAAAUAGGCCACGAGCAAAGCCGCGCCCAGAAAUCCGCCCCCGAAUGUCGGGGCGCCCAGACACCAGAGCGGAAAUAUGGCCAAAAAACGGGUGGGCUAUAGCCUUGGUGGGGGGCGUGGCCGAAGUUCGUCCGCCGGACUCGGAAUGGCCCCAGACUUUGCGGGCGGCCUCCGUGUGCCAAAAAUAGGCCACGGGCACAGCUGCGCCCAAAAAAUCAGCCCCGGAAGGUCGGGGCGCCAAGACACCCCACCGGAAAAAUGGCCAAAAAACGGGUGGGCUAUAGCCUUGGUGGGGGGCGUGGGCAAAGUUCGUCCGCCGGACUCGGAAUGGCCCCAAACUUUGCGGGCGGCCUCUGUGUGCCAAAAAUAGGCCACGGCCACGGCCGCGCCCAAAAAUUAGCCCCCGAAGGUCGGGAGGCCAAGACACCCCAGCGGAAAAAUGGCCAAAAAACGGGUGGGCUAUAGCCUUGGUGGGGGGCGUGGGCGAAGUUCGUCCGCCGGACUCGGAAUGGCCCCAGACUUUGCGGGCGGCCUCCGUGUGCCAAAANN